RNAcentral lists this ribosomal RNA (603 nucleotides) under uncultured fungus. RNAcentral describes it as "eukaryotic LSU rRNA". It matches the Rfam family "Eukaryotic large subunit ribosomal RNA", at positions 23 to 641 of the family's 3401-position model. Lineage: Eukaryota; Fungi. The record is from RNAcentral.
ACCCGCUGAACUUAAGCAUAUCAAUAAGCGGAGGAAAAGAAACCAACAGGGAUUGCCCUAGUAACGGUGAGUGAAGCGGCAACAGCUCAAAUUUGAAAUCUGGCUCUUUUAGAGUCCGAGUUGUAAUUUGCAGAGGGCGCUUUGGCUUUGGCAGCGGUCCAAGUUCCUUGGAACAGGACGUCACAGAGGGUGAGAAUCCCGUACGUGGUCGCUGGCUAUUGCCGUGUAAAGCCCCUUCGACGAGUCGAGUUGUUUGGGAAUGCAGCUCUAAAUGGGAGGUACAUUUCUUCUAAAGCUAAAUAUUGGCCAGAGACCGAUAGCGCACAAGUAGAGUGAUCGAAAGAUGAAAAGCACUUUGGAAAGAGAGUCAAACAGCACGUGAAAUUGUUGAAAGGGAAGCGCUUGCAGCCAGACUUGCUUACAGUUGCUCAUCCGGGCUUUUGCCCGGUGCACUCUUCUGUAGGCAGGCCAGCAUCAGUUUGGGCGGUAGGAUAAAGGUCUCUGUCACGUACCUCUCUUCGGGGAGGCCUUAUAGGGGAGACGACAUACUACCAGCCUGGACUGAGGUCCGCGCAUCUGCUAGGAUGCUGGCGUAAUGGCUGU